AGGAAACUAGCCACUUUGAAGAGGAUGGCUAAAAAACAAGGUUCGUCCAUAAAGAAAGCAGUGGUAGACUUGUGGCAGCUUGCAUUUUCAUAUCAAGUUAACCCUUUAGCGAUUGCUCAACCCCUUUCUGGAGUAGCUCGUGGAUAAAACCCAUAUUUUUAUUCUGUCAUUUCAUAUAAAGCAGCAUUUACAAGCAUUUUGCUUUAAUGGGAAUUCUG
RNAcentral lists this unclassified non-coding RNA (218 nucleotides) under Hevea brasiliensis (rubber tree). Lineage: Eukaryota; Viridiplantae; Streptophyta; Magnoliopsida; Malpighiales; Euphorbiaceae. The record is from RNAcentral.